UCAGAGGGUUGGACGGCCGCGAGAUUUAUUUCGAGGAAAGUCCGGGCUCCAUUGAAGCAGGAUGCCGGGUAACGCCCGGCGGGUUCACCGUUUUGGUGGACUUAGGGAAAGUGCCACAGAAAAUAAACCGCCUUAUAUAUAAGGUAAGGGUGAAAAGGUGCGGUAAGAGCGCACCGCCGUAAUUGGUAACAAUGCGGGCAUGGUAAACCCCAUCCGGAGCAAGACCAAAUAGGGACGGCAUAUGGCGUGCUUUGACGCUGUUGUCCGGGUAGGUUGCUUGAGGUAGUGAGUAAUCACUGCUCUAGAGGAAUGGUCGUCGCCCGUAAGGGUACAAAACCCGGCUUAUAGGCCCUCUGACACU
RNAcentral lists this RNase P RNA (361 nucleotides) under Robiginitomaculum sp. RNAcentral's name for it is "RNase P RNA component class A". It matches the Rfam family "Bacterial RNase P class A". Rfam says of the family: Ribonuclease P (RNase P) is a ubiquitous endoribonuclease, found in archaea, bacteria and eukarya as well as chloroplasts and mitochondria. Its best characterised activity is the generation of mature 5'-ends of tRNAs by cleaving the 5'-leader elements of precursor-tRNAs. Lineage: Bacteria; Pseudomonadati; Pseudomonadota; Alphaproteobacteria; Maricaulales; Robiginitomaculaceae. The record is from RNAcentral.